ACAUUCUCUUCAACACUUGGUGUUUUCAGACUUUUUAAUUUUUUAAUUUUUCCUUUGCCUUUUUGGUCUAGAGUUAAAUGUCAUUUUUUUUUAAUAAAAUCAUUUUAAAAUUUUAGAUGUAUUCAACUGAAAAUGUAAGUAGAAUAAGUUGAGUUCUACAUUAAGUUAGUAAUUGUAAUUAAUUAUUGCAUUAAUUUAAAUUGGCCUGCAUAAAUUAAACAAGUAUUUAUCAAUUGUGUAUUAUGUAAUAGAUACUGUCAGGAAUAUAAAAAAUCUUUUAAAUACAUAUGCAGAUUUUAACUUUUGAAUUUUACUAAGAUAGGGUAUAAUUUGAAAAUGGUAUUUAAAGGCAAAUUUAAAACUUACAUUAAACUGAAAAAGUCCUGCUAUGUAUAAAACACAUUUACCUCAC
Pipistrellus kuhlii (Kuhl's pipistrelle) is the source of this 412-nucleotide long non-coding RNA. RefSeq lists it as uncharacterized. Lineage: Eukaryota; Metazoa; Chordata; Mammalia; Chiroptera; Vespertilionidae. The record is from RefSeq and is a predicted model, not a curated record. The transcript has 2 exons.